GAAAUGCGAUAAGUAAUGUGAAUUGCAGAAUUCAGUGAAUCAUCGAAUCUUUGAACGCACCUUGCGCUCCUUGGUAUUCCUUGGAGCAUGCCUGUUUGAGUAUCGUGAAAUCUUCAAAGUAAAUCUUUUGUUCACUCAAUUGGUUCUACUUUGGUAUUGGAGGUUCCAUUGCAGCUUCACAUCUGCUCCUCUUUGUGCAUUAGCUGGAUUCUCAGUGUUAUGCUCGGUUCCACUCGGCGUGAUAAGUAUCACUCGCCGAGGACACUGUAAAAGGUGGCCGGGAUUGCGGAUGAACCGCUUCUAAUAGUCCAUUGACUUGGACAAUAAAUACUUUAUGAUCUGAUCUCAAAUCAGGUAGGACUACCCGCUGAACUUAAGCAUAUCAAUAAGCGGAGGAAAAGAACUAA
RNAcentral lists this ribosomal RNA (407 nucleotides) under uncultured Ceratobasidiaceae. Its description in RNAcentral is "eukaryotic LSU rRNA". The stretch from base 1 to 105 matches the Rfam family "5.8S ribosomal RNA", at positions 50 to 154 of the family's 154-position model. Lineage: Eukaryota; Fungi; Basidiomycota; Agaricomycetes; Cantharellales; Ceratobasidiaceae. The record is from RNAcentral.